RNAcentral lists this small RNA (889 nucleotides) under Pan troglodytes (chimpanzee). Its description in RNAcentral is "retained intron". The record is from RNAcentral. Lineage: Eukaryota; Metazoa; Chordata; Mammalia; Primates; Hominidae.
GUCUCUCUUUGCCUUCAUGCCUGAGUUCUACCUGAGCGUGGCCAUCAACAGCUACAGUGCUCUCAAGAAUUACUUUGGUCCCGUGCACAGCAUGGAGGAGCUCCCAGGCUAUGAAGAGACCCUGACCCGCCUGGCUGCCAUUCUCGCCAAACACUUUGCCGACACACGCAUUGUGGGCACUGACAUCCGAGACUCACUGAUGCAGGCCCUGGCCAGCUACGUGUGCUACCCACACUCCCUGCGGGCUGUGGAGCGAAUCCCCGAGGAGCAGUGAGUGGGGCCUGGGGGGCACACACCCUGGCCACGAGCACCAUGCCCAGCCUCACCCCGUCUCUCCCCUCCUUGCCCUCACAGGCGUAUCGCCAUGGUGAGGAACCUCCUGGCGCCCUAUGAGCAGCGGCCCUGGGCCCAGACCAACUGGAUCCUGGUGCGGCUCUGGAGGGGCUGUGGCUUCGGGUACCGCUAUACACGGCUGCCACAUCUGCUGAAAACCAAACUUGAGGACGCCAAUUUGCCCAGCCUCCAGAAGCCCUGCCCCUCCACCCUGCUGCAGCAGCACAUGGCGGACCUCCUACAGCAGGGUCCUGAUGUGGCACCCAGCUUCCUCAACAGCGUCCUCAAUCAGCUCAACUGGGCCUUCUCUGAAUUCAUUGGCAUGAUCCAAGAGAUCCAGCAGGCUGCUGAGCGCCUGGAGCGGAACUUUGUGGACAGCCGGCAGCUCAAGGUAUGUGCCACCUGCUUUGACCUCUCGGUCAGCCUGCUGCGUGUCUUGGAGAUGACUAUCACACUGGUGCCUGAGAUAUUCCUUGACUGGACCCGGCCUACCUCUGAGAUGCUGCUGCGGCGUCUUGCACAGGUGUGGCCAUCUGGGCAACAAGGGUGGGACCCU